RNAcentral lists this ribosomal RNA (447 nucleotides) under uncultured bacterium. RNAcentral's name for it is "bacterial SSU rRNA". It matches the Rfam family "Bacterial small subunit ribosomal RNA", at positions 346 to 796 of the family's 1533-position model. The record is from RNAcentral.
GUGCAGCAGUCGAGAAUAUUGGGCAAUGGGCGAAAGCCUGACCCAGCGACACCGCGUGCUCGAAGAAGCCUUCGGGGUGUAAAGAGCUUUUAUGGAGGAAGAAUCCCACUUUAGUGGGAUGACGGUACUCCAGGAAUAAGAGGAGGCUAAUCACGUGCCAGAAGCCUCGGUAAUACGUGAUCCUCAAGUGUUAUCCGGAUUUAUUGGGCGUAAAGCGUCUGUAGGCGGUUAAAUAAGUCUUUGGUUAAAGCCCCAUGGCUCAACUAUGGGAAUGCCAGAGAUACUGUUUGACUAGAGGGUGUUAGGGGCUGAUGGAACGGUCAGUGUAGGGGUGAAAUCCGUUGAUAUCGACCGGAACACCAAAAGCGAAGGCAUUCAGCUAAGGCAAUCCUGACGCUGAGAGACGAAAGCGUGGGUAGCGAAGGAGAUUAGAUACCCCCGUAGUCC